Molecule: ribosomal RNA, 481 nt
Filed under: uncultured Methanosaeta sp.
Lineage: Archaea; Methanobacteriati; Methanobacteriota; Methanomicrobia; Methanotrichales; Methanotrichaceae
Description: bacterial SSU rRNA
Rfam family: Archaeal small subunit ribosomal RNA
Source: RNAcentral
UUAAAGGAAUUGACGGGGAGCACCACAACGGGUGGAGCUUGCGGUUUAAUUGGAUUCAACGCCGGAAAUCUUACCGGGACCGACAGCAAUAUGAAGGCCAGGCUGAAGACUUUGCCGGAUUAGCUGAGAGGUGGUGCAUGGCCGUCGUCAGUUCGUGCUGUGAAGCAUCCUGUUAAGUCAGGCAACGAGCGAGACCCACGCCCACAGUUGCCAGCGUACUCUCUAGAGUGACGGGUACACUGUGGGACCGCCGCUGCUAAAGCGGAGGAAGGAAUGGGCAACGGUAGGUCAGUAUGCCCCGAAUAUCCCGGGCUACACGCGAGCUACAAUGGUUGGUACAAUGGGUAUCUACCCCGAAAGGGGACGGGAAUCUCCUAAAACCAAUCUUAGUUCGGAUUGAGGGCUGCAACUCGCCCUCAUGAAGCUGGAAUCCGUAGUAAUCGCGUUUCAACAGAACGCGGUGAAUACGUCCCUGCUCCUU